RNAcentral lists this ribosomal RNA (371 nucleotides) under Funneliformis mosseae. Its description in RNAcentral is "SSU rRNA". It matches the Rfam family "Eukaryotic small subunit ribosomal RNA", at positions 569 to 944 of the family's 1831-position model. Lineage: Eukaryota; Fungi; Glomeromycota; Glomeromycetes; Glomerales; Glomeraceae. The record is from RNAcentral.
AGCAGCCGCGGUAAUUCCAGCUCCAAUAGCGUAUAUUAAAGUUGUUGCAGUUAAAAAGCUCGUAGUUGAAUUUCGGGAUCAAUAUUUCGGUCAUGCCGUUGGUAUGCACUGUUAUCAUUGAUUUCUCACCUUCUAAAGAACCGUAAUGCCAUUAAUUUGGUGUUACGGGGAAUUAGGACUGUUACCUUGAAAAAUUAGAGUGUUUAAAGCAGGCUCACGCUUGAAUACAUUAGCAUGGAAUAAUGAAAUAGGACAUCCGAUUCUAUUUUGUUGGUUUCUAGGAUCGAUGUAAUGAUUAAUAGGGAUAGUUGGGGGCAUUAGUAUUCAAUUGUCAGAGGUGAAAUUCUUGGAUUUAUUGAAGACUAACUACU